Gossypium hirsutum (cotton) is the source of this 145-nucleotide non-coding RNA. Lineage: Eukaryota; Viridiplantae; Streptophyta; Magnoliopsida; Malvales; Malvaceae. The record is from Rfam.
AGUUAAAAAUUUCAUCCAUUUGUACUAUUAAAAACUACUAUGGUUGAUGAAAUAACAAAAUAGUGACACGUAACGUGCCAUGCGUACCUCAUGCCGAUGUAAAUGGACCAAUUUUUAACAGUAGACAUAAAUGCAAUUUUUAACA